This is a non-coding RNA of Parelaphostrongylus tenuis, 72 nucleotides long. Lineage: Eukaryota; Metazoa; Nematoda; Chromadorea; Rhabditida; Metastrongylidae. The record is from the annotation of a GenBank genome assembly.
GCGUCGGUAGUGCAACGGUUAGCAAACGCUCCCGGAAAGAGUGAGAUCUGGGUUCGAAUCCCGGCUGACGCA